UGUGACAACCCAUUUCACACAAAACCAGCUAAGGAAAGAUAGUUUAGAAGGAUUAGGGCCUUCAGGGCUGGGGUGGGAGUGUGUUCUUUUAAAUAGAAUGGAUAAGAAAGACUUCUCUGAUCAAACAGUAUUUGGGCAGAGACUCCAAGGAAGCAUGGGAACAGUCUUGAUGCAGAUUUCUGGGGGAAGAGCCCCCCUGGACACAGAAGGCAGCCAGUGCAAAAGCCCUGAGACAGAAGGCUUGGCAGAGGGUGCAGCAGGGCUAGUGUGAACAGUCAAGCGGGUGGAAAGGGAGUGAUGGGGGAAUGGGGUCCAGGACAUUUGGGAGACUGGAUCCUAGAUGGCUUUCUAGGUCAAGGGAAGGCCUUGGGAUCCUCUAAGAAGAAUAGGAAGCCAUCAGAGAGUUUCAAGCAGAGAAAUUACAUUUCAGGACGAUCACUCUGGCUGCUGCAUAGAAGACACACAAUUGGGAGACAAGGGUUUAAAUAGGAGAGUAGUUAGGCCACUGUAAAAAUCAAGGCAAUAGAUUAGAGUGGCUUGGGAGAAGUGGCAGGUGGAGGUGUUAAGGUGGCUUCUACUUUUGGUUACACGCUGAAGCUAAAGCCAACAGAAUUUGCUGACAGAUUGGAUGUGGGAUCACUUCACAGUCUCAUUUCCCUGGAACUGCUACAAGCCUGGCUUUUCUAGCCUUGGAGAGGCACUCAAAGAAGGCUCAGAGCAGGUGAGCAAAAGGCAAGAGACAGGAGAGGAAGCCAGGCAGUGAGGUCAUCAGGAGGCCACGUUGUGGAGCCAGAGGUCAGAGCACUUUGAGAUCUGCACAGGAAGCACACAGCUCUGGUUACCACUGGAAGCUGUCUUGCCCCCACAAGCCAGCCUUAAGAUGCUGCUGAUGCUGGGAUUGCAGAAUGGAGUAACAGAGAAGUAAGUUGUUGAUGACACCAUUCACUGCUGAUUGUAGCAUGUCUGGAGUCUGCUGUACAUCUAGAUUUCAGUUAUUUCCAGAUAUUUUAAUGGAACUUAAGCCAAUGUGAAUCAUGUUUUCAUGACUUGCAUCAGAAAGUAUUGUCACUGAUACAGAGCUGCAUAACUUGACUUUGAAGAAUCUGUGACUAAAAGGAUGUAAGAGUCAGUUAGCUAUAAAAAUGGAUGACAGACUAGGUGUGGUGGCUCAUGCUUGUAAUCUUAAUGCUUUUGGAGGCUGAGGUGGGAG
This is a long non-coding RNA of Cebus imitator (Panamanian white-faced capuchin), 1210 nucleotides long. RefSeq lists it as uncharacterized. The transcript is spliced from 3 exons. NCBI's taxonomy places the organism in Eukaryota, Metazoa, Chordata, Mammalia, Primates, Cebidae. The record is from RefSeq and is a predicted model, not a curated record.